AUUGAACGCUGGCGGAAUGCUUUACACAUGCAAGUCGAACGGCAGCACGGACUUCGGUCUGGUGGCGAGUGGCGAACGGGUGAGUAAUGUAUCGGAACGUGCCCAGUCGUGGGGGAUAACGUAGUGAAAAUUACGCUAAUACCGCAUACGAUCUAUGGAUGAAAGCGGGGGAUCGCAAGACCUCGCGCGAUUGGAGCGGCCGAUAUCAGAUUAGGGAGUUGGUGGGGUAAAGGCGCACCAAGCCAACGAUCUGUAGCUGGUCUGAGAGGACGACCAGCCAACCUGGAACUGAGACACGGUCCAGACUCCUACGGGAGGCAGCAGUGGGGAAUUUUGGACAAUGGGCGAAAGCCUGAUCCAGCCAUUCCGCGUGCAGGAUGAAGGCCCUCGGGUUGUAAACUGCUUUUGUACAGAACGAAAAGGUUUCUACUAAUACUAGGAGCUCAUGACGGUACUGUAAGAAUAAGCACCGGCUAACUACGUGCCAGCAGCCGCGGUAA
RNAcentral lists this ribosomal RNA (500 nucleotides) under uncultured bacterium. RNAcentral describes it as "partial 16S ribosomal RNA". It matches the Rfam family "Bacterial small subunit ribosomal RNA", at positions 30 to 523 of the family's 1533-position model. The record is from RNAcentral.